Molecule: ribosomal RNA, 781 nt
Filed under: uncultured Streptomyces sp.
Lineage: Bacteria; Bacillati; Actinomycetota; Actinomycetes; Kitasatosporales; Streptomycetaceae
Description: bacterial SSU rRNA
Rfam family: Bacterial small subunit ribosomal RNA
Source: RNAcentral
GCAGUCGAACGAUGAAGCCUUCGGGUGGAUUAGUGGCGAACGGGUGAGUAACACGUGGGCAAUCUGCCCUGCACUCUGGGACAAGCCCUGGAAACGGGGUCUAAUACCGGAUAAUACUGUUCCCCUCAUGGGGGGUGGUUGAAAGCUCCGGCGGUGCAGGAUGAGCCCGCGGCCUAUCAGCUUGUUGGUGGGGUAAUGGCCUACCAAGGCGACGACGGGUAGCCGGCCUGAGAGGGCGACCGGCCACACUGGGACUGAGACACGGCCCAGACUCCUACGGGAGGCAGCAGUGGGGAAUAUUGCACAAUGGGCGGAAGCCUGAUGCAGCGACGCCGCGUGAGGGAUGACGGCCUUCGGGUUGUAAACCUCUUUCAGCAGGGAAGAAGCGAAAGUGACGGUACCUGCAGAAGAAGCGCCGGCUAACUACGUGCCAGCAGCCGCGGUAAUACGUAGGGCGCAAGCGUUGUCCGGAAUUAUUGGGCGUAAAGAGCUCGUAGGCGGUCUGUCACGUCGGGUGUGAAAGCCCGGGGCUUAACCCCGGGUCUGCAUUCGAUACGGGCAGACUAGAGUGUGGUAGGGGAGAUCGGAAUUCCUGGUGUAGCGGUGAAAUGCGCAGAUAUCAGGAGGAACACCGGUGGCGAAGGCGGAUCUCUGGGCCAUUACUGACGCUGAGGAGCGAAAGCGUGGGGAGCGAACAGGAUUAGAUACCCUGGUAGUCCACGCCGUAAACGUUGGGAACUAGGUGUUGGCGACAUUCCACGUCGUCGGUGCCGCAGCUAAC